RNAcentral lists this long non-coding RNA (2430 nucleotides) under Schistocerca americana (American grasshopper). RNAcentral's name for it is "uncharacterized LOC124613017". Lineage: Eukaryota; Metazoa; Arthropoda; Insecta; Orthoptera; Acrididae. The record is from RNAcentral.
UAAAUAAUUAGCAUGGUUUAUUUCACAUGCAAUAAAAAAUACAGUAAAAAAUCGUGUGAGAGCUAAAGCUGUGGUUCAUCCAUAAAAAUGUUCUCAAAAGAUGUUUUAAAAGAUGGCAAGCAUUGUAUGGCCUUGUAAAUAUUAUUCUUUGAGUUAUACUGUUUAGAAAACUGUCAAUUUUUUCAAGGUUUCCCCUUUUAUUCAUGGAUCAGUCCCCUUCAGGUUUCAUAGCGUGAGCUCGGAUUUUGUAGCAUAUGUUUUUGCAAAAAUAUUUUGUAGUAUCAAGUCACUGUGUGUUCAGAUUUAGAAGUAUACAUUCGUAAAAAGGUGUCACAGUAUCAAAGUACUGCGUGCUCAGAUUUCGCAGUAUAUUUUAGUAGAAAGGUUUAGUAGUAUCAAAUCAUUGUGUGUUCGGAUUUCAUAGGUUUCGUAGUAUUUGUUCAGGUUUCAUAGCAUUUGCUCAGAUCUCGGUGUAAAUUUUUUUUCCUACUUGUUUCAGCAUACAUCCACCAAAUCGUGGAUCAGCUGGCAGCUGAGAAGGAACAGCAGCAGCAGCUUCAGAUACAUUUUCUUUAUCAUAGUACUGUGUAGCUGUUAGACAUAUUAUCGUGUCUGCUUGAAAAAAUUCAUCAUAUACAUAAUAUGAUGUCUGAGGCACAUUCUUCGUUAUUGUUGUAGAUGAUUUCAAGGAGUAGGAGCAGGAAUGGGCAGAGGUUGUGGCGCCAUAUGCGUCACUGCUAUCAAACCUCGAGCGAUGGAUCCACAGUGGUUUGGGCAAGGAGAUGCUUGAGUUGGCAGAGGAGAUGCAGAAGGAGCUACGUCGAAAUGGGGAGAUGCCAGAAGACCUGAAGGAUACCGCACAGAGCCUGACAGAGAUAGAACCAUUGUUCAUGUAGUAUACAGUGGCGCAAGUACCGAGGGCAGUGAAGGUAGAACUGUAGAAGAGGUUCUGAGUGGCAUGCUGCACCAUGUACAAUGAGCCUCGUCAGUGCACAGGAAGCUGCUGCUGCACCAGCAGUCACAGCCACAGUCGCCACUGCCUCCGCCCCUGUCUCCACCAACCUUUUUCUGGAGUCCAUGAGCCAUCCUCCUUCCAGCAUCUGGCUCAUUUGACUUGCAUUUCUCCAGGCCAUAAACAUGAAGCAAUGUUCUGGUACUCCGUGCCUCAAAUUCAGAACAGCAGAACAAGCAGGAUAAACAUACUGUCGUCCGACCCCUCCAUUUCUCAAAAUUUGUCAGUAAGUGUAAGUGCAUGUGAACGCUUUGUUAUUCUUAGCUGAGGAAAUUAAGGAGAAAGGCAAUUAUCAUUUUGUUUGUAUCAAGGACCUGACUCCUUGCCUCCCAACUAAGUAAAUGUAAGGAUAUGCAGCAUAUUGGACUAAGGUGUCCCAAUGUCUUUUCCCCAGAAAAGUUAUUGGGAAACUAUCUAGUAGACUGCACUUCAAAUAAUUCAGUACGUGUUAUGCAAAAAACUGGUUCAAAUGGCUCUGAGCACUAUGGGACUCAACUGCUGAAGUCAUUAGUCCCCUAGAACUUAGAACUAGUUAAACCUAACUAACCUAAGGACAUCACAAACAUCGAUGCCCGAGGCAGGAUUCGAACCUGUGACCAUAGCGGUCUUGCGGUUCCAGACUGCAGCGCCCUUAACCGCACGGCAACUUCGGCCGGCACGUGUUAUGCCUAUUGAAGAAAACAUAUUCGUAAAGUUUAAGAAUACUCACCAUCAGGAGCGUUACCCAUUUGUGGUGUAUGUCAACUUGGAAUGCCUCCUCGUUCUUGUGACCCACUAUGAAGGUGACCCUACAUAUUACCUUUACGGGAAAACACGUACACUGUGCUGCAAUCUAAAGUCGACCUGUCGCCUCUUGACGAUAGUCGCCUCAUGACGAUAAAAGGGUCAUUUGUGAUUACAGGAAUGAAAUUCUCCCAUACUCAAACUAUUCGUAUUUUGAGAGAGCGUAGGUGAAAAGACUCUGACGGAAUGAGAGGGCGAGAAUGAGAUUGGGUGAUACUGCAGAAUAAUAUGAUCCUUUUAUCAUAGUGUAAGUAAUUUUGUGUGUAUAUGUGUGAUGUAAAUAUUUAUUUAUUUAUGGAAAGCAUGUGUGUGAGGAAUGUGUGCUGUGUGCACUUGUAAAAACAUAUAUCUUGUAAGGGAAAUCUACACAUCACGCUGAUCGGUAAAAAAUUGUACUUGUAAAAUAUUUGCACAGCAUGUGUGUCGACAAGAAAAGCUGUAUGUCGGAAAUAUAUGUAGUUACCUUGCACAAUAUGUAAAUAAAACAGAUUUUUUAAGUUUCACUUGCCGCUAGCCAUUCAGGAUAUAUAUAUAUACGUAUAUAUAUAGUUAACCAUCCUUCAUAAUUGUUGUAUAGCAACCACAUCACUGUUACUUUUAGCAUAGAUUUAUAUACCUGACAAUUGUAAAUAUUU